Molecule: long non-coding RNA, 916 nt
Filed under: Ananas comosus (pineapple)
Lineage: Eukaryota; Viridiplantae; Streptophyta; Magnoliopsida; Poales; Bromeliaceae
Description: long non-coding RNA (ACOM_LNC025132)
Source: RNAcentral
GUGAAGCCAGAGGUGGAGGGGUUCGGCCGGCGGUGAGAGGCUUCGGGCGGAGGUGAAGGGGCUUCGGGCCGGAGGUGAAGGGCUUCGACCGGAGAGAAGGAGCGUCGGGAGGAGGCAGAGCUGGCGGUGAAGGGGUUUCAGGGAAGGGUUUCGGGCCGGAGGUAAAGUCGGAGGUGGAGGGGUUCGGCUGGCGGUGAGAGACUUCGGGCGGAGGUGACGGGGCUUCGGGUCGGAGGUGAAGGGGCUUCGGGUUGGAGGUAAAAGGCUUUGACCGGAGAGAAGGGGCGUCGGGAGGAGGCAGAGCUGGCGGUGAAGGGGCUUCAGGGAAGGGCUUCGGGCUGGAGGUAAAGCCGGAGGUGGAGGGGUUCGGCUAGCGGUGAGAGGCUUCGGGUGGAGGUGAAGGGGCUUCGGGCCAGAGGUGAAGGGGCUUCGGGCCGGAGGUGAAGAGCUUCGACCGGAGAGAAGGGGCGUCGAGAGGAGGCAGAGCUGGUAGUGAAGGGGCUUCAGGGAAGGGCUUUGGGUCGGAGGUGAAGGGCUUCGGCCGGAGUGGAGAGGCUUCGGGAGGAGGUAGAUCCGGAGGCAAAGGGGCUUUGGGGAAGGGCUUCGGGCCAAAGGUAAAGGUUCGGCCGGAGUGGAGGGGUGUCGGAAGGAGGCAGAUUCGGCGGUGGAGGGGCUUCGAAGAAGGGCUUCGGGCCGGAUGUGAAGGGCUUCGGCCGGAGUGGAGGGGCGUCGGGAGGAGACAGAUCUGGCGGUGAAGGCUUCGACCGGAGUGGAGGGGCUUGGGGAGAAGGCAGAUCCGGAGGUGAAGGCUUCAGGAUAAGAAAGGGGAAGAAUGGGAACGGGGAGAAAGGGAAAAGCAUGAGGGCGUUGGGAGGCGUGCGGGGCUAAAGUGGGGAGGGGAGGUGGGAUUAGUAAA